RNAcentral lists this ribosomal RNA (464 nucleotides) under uncultured bacterium. RNAcentral describes it as "partial 16S ribosomal RNA". It matches the Rfam family "Bacterial small subunit ribosomal RNA", at positions 29 to 507 of the family's 1533-position model. The record is from RNAcentral.
AUGAACGCUGGCGGCGUGCUUAACACAUGCAAGUCGAACGGAAAGGCCCAAGCUUGCUUGGGUACUCGAGUGGCGAACGGGUGAGUAACACGUGGGUGAUCUGCCCUGCACUUCGGGAUAAGCCUGGGAAACUGGGUCUAAUACCGGAUAGGACCACAUUUUGGAUGGUGUGGUGGAAAGUUUUUCGGUGUGGGAUGAGCUCGCGGCCUAUCAGCUCGUCGGUGGGGGAAUGGCCUACCAAGGCGCCGACGGGUAGCCGGCCUGAGAGGGUGUACGGCCACAUUGGGACUGAGAUACGGCCCAGACUCCUACGGGAGGCAGCAGUGGGGAAUAUUGCACAAUGGGCGGAAGCCUGAUGCAGCGACGCCGCGUGGGGGAUGACGGCCGUCGGGUUGUAAACGCCUUUCGCGAGGGACGAAGCGCAAGUGACGGUACCUGGAGAAGAAGCACGGGCUAACUACGUG